UAGGGAAUCUUCCGCAAUGGACGAAAGUCUGACGGAGCAACGCCGCGUGAGUGAUGAAGGCUUUCGGGUCGUAAAACUCUGUUGUUAGGGAAGAACAAGUGCUAGUUGAAUAAGCUGGCACCUUGACGGUACCUAACCAGAAAGCCACGGCUAACUACGUGCCAGCAGCCGCGGUAAUACGUAGGUGGCAAGCGUUAUCCGGAAUUAUUGGGCGUAAAGCGCGCGCAGGUGGUUUCUUAAGUCUGAUGUGAAAGCCCACGGCUCAACCGUGGAGGGUCAUUGGAAACUGGGAGACUUGAGUGCAGAAGAGGAAAGUGGAAUUCCAUGUGUAGCGGUGAAAUGCGUAGAGAUGUGGAGGAACACCAGUGGCGAAGGCGACUUUCUGGUCUGUAACUGACACUGAGGCGCGAAAGCGUGGGGAGCAAACAGGAUUAGAUACCCUGGUAGUCCACGCCGUAAACGAUGAGUGCUAAGUGUUAGAGGGUUUCCGCCCUUUAGUGCUGAAGUUAACGCAUUAAGCACUCCGCCUGGGGAGUACGGCCGCAAGGCUGAAACUCAAAGGAAUGGACGG
Molecule: ribosomal RNA, 571 nt
Filed under: Bacillus sp. enrichment culture clone M1C8
Lineage: Bacteria; Bacillati; Bacillota; Bacilli; Caryophanales; Bacillaceae
Description: bacterial SSU rRNA
Rfam family: Bacterial small subunit ribosomal RNA
Source: RNAcentral